Molecule: non-coding RNA, 430 nt
Organism: Ciona intestinalis (vase tunicate)
Lineage: Eukaryota; Metazoa; Chordata; Ascidiacea; Phlebobranchia; Cionidae
Source: RefSeq, a predicted model, not a curated record
UAAGAAAAAAAAAAUAGAGUUAACAAUUUUCAAAGCACAUUAUAUGACAGUUAUUUAAUAAGUUGAAAUUUUGCACCAAAUAAUAAAAAAAUCUUCUGUAAGAUUUUCUUUAACGGUUUGCAAAAUAUAAAAUCUACACACUUUGUUAUUUUUAAUUAAUAAUGUCUGACAGAAAAAUCUGCAUCAAAAUUUGUUCCUUGCUUUUGCAUGCAAGACUAGUAGUAUACAGUUUACACAGACAUUGUUUAAACUUAUGGUUUUGCACUAGUUCUAGCAUUUUGUCUAGAACCAUAAAAAAUAUGAACAAAUAAAUAAGUUACAUUUUUUUCACAUGAAUAAGUGACUAACUAUGGCUGUCUUUCCUGCAUUUUAAAAGGAGUUUUGUCUAUCUCUAAAAUUCUACUGACUAGUUUUAAUUUUAUUUGCAAUU